Molecule: ribosomal RNA, 480 nt
Filed under: uncultured bacterium
Lineage: Bacteria
Description: partial 16S ribosomal RNA
Rfam family: Bacterial small subunit ribosomal RNA
Source: RNAcentral
GAUGAACGCUCGCGGCAGGCCUAACACAUGCAAGUCGAGGGGGAGGUUACUUUCGGGUAACUGAGACCGGCGUACGGGUGCGUAACGCGUAUACAAUCUGCCUUUCACUGGGGGAUAGCCCGAAGAAAUUUGGAUUAAUACCCCAUAGUAUAGUAAUACGGCAUCGUGAUGCUAUUAAAGCUUAGGUGGUGAAAGAUGAGUAUGCGUUCUAUUAGCUAGUUGGAGAGGUAACGGCUCCCCAAGGCGAUGAUAGAUAGGGGUUCUGAGAGGGAUGUCCCCCACACUGGUACUGAGAUACGGACCAGACUCCUACGGGAGGCAGCAGUGAGGAAUAUUGGACAAUGGUCGGAAGACUGAUCCAGCCAUGCCGCGUGCAGGAUGAAGGUCUUAUGGAUUGUAAACUGCUUUUGUAAGGGAAGAAUAAGGGCUACGCGUAGUUUGAUGACGGUACCUUACGAAUAAGCAUCGGCUAACUCCGCG